This is a small nucleolar RNA of Ornithorhynchus anatinus (platypus), 138 nucleotides long. NCBI's taxonomy places the organism in Eukaryota, Metazoa, Chordata, Mammalia, Monotremata, Ornithorhynchidae. The record is from RefSeq and is a predicted model, not a curated record.
ACCCUCUCAGGGUUGCACCUGGAGAGGUUACAGUACUCUACCAGUCUCAACCGCAGGAGGGAGAGUCAAGCAAAGGCCUACCCAUUCCAUUCCUAGCUUGGGCAGUGGCUAGCAUGUGGAAGGCACACUGCUACAAGU